Molecule: long non-coding RNA, 89 nt
Organism: Salarias fasciatus (jewelled blenny)
Lineage: Eukaryota; Metazoa; Chordata; Actinopteri; Blenniiformes; Blenniidae
Exons: 3
Source: RefSeq, a predicted model, not a curated record
GCUAAUAGAACGGCUGACGGCUCUACUAGCAGCAUCAGGCUCUGAAGUACAUGUAGUUAUAUAGGAUAUUUUUUUAUACUCGGGGAAAA